UACGUAGGGACCGAGCGUUGUCCGGAAUCAUUGGGCGUAAGGAGCGUGUAGGCGGCCACUUAAGUCCUGCGUGAAAUCUUGCGGCUCAACCGCAAGCGGUCGUGGGAAACUGGGUGGCUAGAGUGCGGGAGAGGAGACUGGAAUUCCUGGUGUAGCGGUGAAAUGCGCAGAUAUCAGGAGGAACACCGGUGGCGAAGGCGGGUCUCUGGACAGUUCCUGACGCUGAGGCACGAAGGCCAGGGGAGCAAACGGG
RNAcentral lists this ribosomal RNA (253 nucleotides) under uncultured bacterium. RNAcentral's name for it is "partial 16S ribosomal RNA". It matches the Rfam family "Bacterial small subunit ribosomal RNA", at positions 524 to 776 of the family's 1533-position model. The record is from RNAcentral.